Molecule: long non-coding RNA, 1572 nt
Filed under: Nicotiana benthamiana
Lineage: Eukaryota; Viridiplantae; Streptophyta; Magnoliopsida; Solanales; Solanaceae
Description: long non-coding RNA (NBEN_LNC032602)
Source: RNAcentral
AAUGGAGAAGGUGGAGUCGAUGUGUCAGGCGAUGAUGAGGUAGACCUGUUCACCCUUGAUUCUCACAGAGGUGCUAUCAUGAAUUUUGGUGAAAGCAUAGAGAGAAAAGAGAACACUGAAGAGGCAGAAUCUGAAACACCUGUACCGAUGAAGAAAUCAUCCGAAAACAACCUGAGGCGGAAAAAAGGAAGGAGGCUCGGUCCGAAACACCUGUACAGAUGAAGAAAUCAUCCGAAAACAACCUGAGGCGGAAAAAAGGAAGGAGUGUUCAAAAAGUUGAAGGUGGAAAAGUUGAUGUUGUCAAAUCUGUCAAGAAGAACUCAUUGAAGACGAGAGGGCGGAAGAAAAAAAGAAUUGCAUCAGACUUGGAGGAAUCUGAACCAGAAAUUGGUAACAUUCUAAAACCCUUGUAACUGGCUUCAUUUUUAUGUAAUGACAUGGCACACGCUUUAUCGCUGCCCAAUGUUUGUAUCUAUUGAUUACCUUCUGAAAUUGUACUUUAUAGUGUUAAACCUUUAUGCCUUUCACCUGUUGAGUAACUGCUGAAAAACAAUGAGAGAUCUUGGAGCCAAUUUUCUCUCUUGUUACACUAGUUCCUGUAAUCAGCGAGAGAUGCAUUUUAAUGUACUACACUGUUUGGUUGUAACCUACAGAUAUUUCGGUAGAUAUUUCUGUAGACUCUAAAGAACCAAUUCAGGAGAGAGAAACUAUUUCAAAUACUGGAAACACUUUGGUUGAAGUUGUGGACUCAAAAGAAUCACAUAGUAUGAAGAGUACUACAACAAUGAACGGACACAAGAAGUCAAAUCGAAAUGGAGCUUCAAAGAUGGAGGAGGUUAUGGACCAAGAAGUAGUGAAACCAAAUGCGGGUAUGAAAUCAGGAAAUGAUACUGACUUGUGGUGGUUCAAUCUUCCUUAUGUUCUUGUAUGUAUAUGGAUCAGGACCAAAAAGUAGUGAAACCAAACGGGGGUAUGAAAUCAGGAAAUGAUACUGACUUGUGGUGGUUCAGUCUUCCUUAUGUUCUUGUAUGUAUAUGGAUCUAUGCUCACUUCUUAUUUGUUUGUUUUCGACAGUUUGUAUUCCCACUAUUUGUGGUUCUAAGUAUUACAGCAAACUUGGUGAUGUCAAAAGAAAAAAAAAUGAUCUGAGCUCUGUUUAGAUUUUGAAAGGUGGGAUGUCUGAGAGGAAGCCAAUUUGUUGAACUGAAACCAUGUGAUGUUACUGCAGUUUACUUGAACUUGGGAUCAUUGCCUUGUCUCUUUUUUUUUUUGGGGGGGGNNNNNNNNNNNNNNNGGGGGGGGGGGGGGGGGGUUAACUAGGAUCCUUGUCUUAUCAUGUGAGAAAUAUUUAUCAGAUUUUAUUAGCAUCGUGCUAGAAGUGCUUUAACCAGCCAUUUUAGGGUUUUGUUUCCUGUCCUGUCCGUUUCCAAUUUUCCAAAGUCUGAAUAAAUGUGUUUGUUGUGGCUUUUGCUUCAUGCUUCUAUUAGUAACGUGCAUGUUAAUAUGCAGGUUAUACGGAUGCGGAGAGGUCAUGAAGAUGAAGGACCAGAAGGAUUAUUUGCCAUAAAAAGU